GACGAACGCUGGCGGCAUGCCUAAUACAUGCAAGUCGAGCGAACAGAUGAAGUGCUUGCACUUCUGACGUUAGCGGCGAACGGGUGAGUAACACGUAAGGAAUCUACCUAUAAGCGGGGGAUAACAUUCGGAAACGGGUGCUAAUACCGCAUAAUAUCUUCUUCCGCAUGGAAGAAGAUUGAAAGACGGCUCUGCUGUCACUUAUAGAUGACCUUGCGGUGCAUUAGUUAGUUGGUGGGGUAACGCCCUACCAAGACGAUGAUGCAUAGCCGACCUGAGAGGGUGAUCGGCCAAAUUGGGACAGAGACACGGCCCAAACUCCUACGGGAGGCAGCAGUAGGGAAUCUUCCGCAAUGGGCGAAAGCCUGACGGAGCAAUGCCGCGUGAGUGAAGAAGGCCUUCGGGUCGUAAAACUCUGUUAUAAGAGAAGAACAAAUUGUAGAGUAACUGCUACAGUCUUGACGGUAUCUUAUCAGAAAGCCACGGCUAACUACGUGCCAGCCGCCGCCGUAA
This 513-nucleotide ribosomal RNA is filed under the name uncultured bacterium. RNAcentral's name for it is "partial 16S ribosomal RNA". It matches the Rfam family "Bacterial small subunit ribosomal RNA", at positions 28 to 523 of the family's 1533-position model. The record is from RNAcentral.